This 1128-nucleotide long non-coding RNA is filed under the name Homo sapiens (human). RNAcentral describes it as "long intergenic non-protein coding RNA 1229". Lineage: Eukaryota; Metazoa; Chordata; Mammalia; Primates; Hominidae. The record is from RNAcentral.
ACAUAAUGGGCUUGGAGUAAUGGAGAACUCCAAGGGCAGGAGGUAACCAUUAAAGAGGACCAUCAUGUAGUGUGAGGAGUCAACAUUUCACACUAGAAAGCCCUUGGUUCAAGUUUUGUCUCUGCCACCUACAGAUUUUGUAACCCUGAGGAAACUAGCUACCUCUUUAUGUACUGCCCUAUGGAGAGGCACACAUGUCAAGAAACUGAGGGAGUGCCUUCCAGUCAACAGCCAGCCAGGAACUAAGGUGCUCAGUACAGCAGCCUCCACAAAGGACUGAACAAUGCCAACAGCUAUUUGACUGUGCUUGGAAGAUCUCCGUUUAGUUAACCCUUCAGAUGAGACCGCAGCCCUGGCCAGCAAACAAAUUGCAGCCUAUGGAAAGACCUUAAGGCAGAAGCACCCAACUGAACCACCCGAGGGCUCUGACUUACAGAAACUGUGAGCAUAUAGUGAAAUGGCCUCUACCUUAUUUUGAAUGGAUUUCUGGGAUAAAGUUCUUCAGUGAUAACAUGUUUGAAUGAGAUCAUUUGUACAAAUCUUGAAACCAAAGCACAGCCUGUAUGAACCCAUGUUGAACCCUGGACUUUCAGGACUACUGUAUGGCUAACCACAGCCCUGCAAGGCCAGGCUCAGCAUGUCACAGUUUUGCCACUGAACAAGAAUCUUUCGAAGGAUCGCAAAUACUACAUGGAAAAUGACUGUAUUCUUUCUGCAAGGCCACUCUCUUAGACAUCACCCUAACAAAAACAAUUACGGGUUGGAAGAGGAGAAAGGAUGCAAAGUUUGUGCCUUGACCUAAAAAAGGUCAUGAGCACCUCUACCGGUUCUUGGAAACAUUAGUUGCAGUGGAUCUCAAAUUCUAUUGCGCAAAAGAACGACCUGGUGACCCUCUAAAAGUGUAGAUUCUCUGGUUUCACCCCUAGACCUUGUGACUCACAUGUCCAGUGAGGCCAGGAACUCCUCACUGUUAACCUGUGCCCUAUUUUAACAAGCCCUGCUGGGAGUCGGGAUGUUGGGGGUCCCCACACCACACUGAAAUAGAGGAAUUCCCUGCUCAAAGAUCCCGUUAUGUCCUGAUUACAAUCUGCAAUGAGAUUAUGAAAUCAUUAAAUCAUGAUUAAGCCA